RNAcentral lists this ribosomal RNA (400 nucleotides) under uncultured bacterium. RNAcentral describes it as "bacterial SSU rRNA". It matches the Rfam family "Bacterial small subunit ribosomal RNA", at positions 355 to 755 of the family's 1533-position model. The record is from RNAcentral.
UGGGGGAUAUUGCACAAUGGGCGCAAGCCUGAUGCAGCGACGCCGCGUGAGGGAUGACGGCUUUCGGGUUGUAAACCUCUUUCGCUACCGAACAAGGCUCCAUAUUGGUGGGGUUGAGGGUAGGUGGAUAAGAAGCGCCGGCUAACUACGUGCCAGCAGCCGCGGUAAUACGUAGGGCGCGAGCGUUGUCCGGAAUUAUUGGGCGUAAAGAGCUCGUAGGCGGCUUGUCACGUCUGCUGUGAAAACGCGGGGCUUAACUCCGCGCGUGCAGUGGGUACGGGCAGGCUAGAGUGUGGUAGGGGUGACUGGAAUUCCUGGUGUAGCGGUGGAAUGCGCAGAUAUCAGGAGGAACACCGAUGGCGAAGGCAGGUCACUGGGCCAUUACUGACGCUGAGGAGCG